RNAcentral lists this ribosomal RNA (253 nucleotides) under uncultured bacterium. Its description in RNAcentral is "partial 16S ribosomal RNA". It matches the Rfam family "Bacterial small subunit ribosomal RNA", at positions 524 to 776 of the family's 1533-position model. The record is from RNAcentral.
UACGUAGGGGGCGAGCGUUGUCCGGAAUUAUUGGGCGUAAAGAGCUCGUAGGCGGUCUGUCGCGUCUGCUGUGAAAAUCCAGGGCUCAACCCUGGACCUGCAGUGGGUACGGGCAGACUAGAGUGCGGUAGGGUAGAUCGGAAUUCCUGGUGUAGCGGUGAAAUGCGCAGAUAUCAGGAGGAACACCGGUGGCGAAGGCGGAUCUCUGGGCCAUUACUGACGCUGAGGAGCGAAAGCGUGGGGAGCGAACAGG